UCAAGAAUAUUCCCCAAUGGACGAAAGUCUGAGGGAGCGACGCCGCGUGCAGGAUGAAGUCCUUCGGGAUGUAAACUGCUUUUGUGGGGGACGAACCUAUGACGGUACCCCAAGAAUAAGAGGUUGCUAACUCUGUGCCAGCAGCAGCGGUAAUACAGAGACCUCGAGCGUUAUCCGGAUUUAUUGGGCGUAAAGCGUGCGCAGGCUUUCCAAAAAGUCUUUGGUUAAAUCCUAAAGCUCAACUUUAGAAUCGCCAGAGAAACUUUUGGAAUUGAGGCCGGGAGAGGUCAGCGGAAUUGCCGGUGUAACGGUAAAAUGUGUUAAUAUCGGCAAGAACACCAGAGGCGAAGGCGGCUGACUAGAACGGAUCUGACGCUGUGGCACGAAAGCGUGGGGAGCGAAUGGG
RNAcentral lists this ribosomal RNA (406 nucleotides) under uncultured bacterium. Its description in RNAcentral is "partial 16S ribosomal RNA". It matches the Rfam family "Bacterial small subunit ribosomal RNA", at positions 355 to 776 of the family's 1533-position model. The record is from RNAcentral.